AACGCUAGCUACAGGCUUAACACAUGCAAGUCGAGGGGCAGCAUGGUCUUAGCUUGCUAAGGCCGAUGGCGACCGGCGCACGGGUGAGUAACACGUAUCCAACCUGCCGUCUACUCUUGGACAGCCUUCUGAAAGGAAGAUUAAUACAAGAUGGCAUCAUGAGUUCACAUGUUCACAUGAUUAAAGGUAUUCCGGUAGACGAUGGGGAUGCGUUCCAUUAGAUAGUAGGCGGGGUAACGGCCCACCUAGUCUUCGAUGGAUAGGGGUUCUGAGAGGAAGGUCCCCCACAUUGGAACUGAGACACGGUCCAAACUCCUACGGGAGGCAGCAGUGAGGAAUAUUGGUCAAUGGGCGAGAGCCUGAACCAGCCAAGUAGCGUGAAGGAUGACUGCCCUAUGGGUUGUAAACUUCUUUUAUAAAGGAAUAAAGUCGGGUAUGCAUACCCGUUUGCAUGUACUUUAUGAAUAAGGAUCGGCUAACUCCGUGCCAGCAGCCGCGGUAAUACGGAGGAUCCGAGCGUUAUCCGGGAUUUUAUUGGGGUUUAAAGGGAGCGUAAAUGGAUGUUUNAAGUCAGUUGUGGAAAGUUUGCGGCUCCACCGUAAAAUUGCAGUUGAAACCUGGGAUAUCUUGAGUGCANUUNAAGGCAGGCGGAAUUCCUGGNNUANCGGUGA
Molecule: ribosomal RNA, 671 nt
Filed under: uncultured bacterium
Lineage: Bacteria
Description: bacterial SSU rRNA
Rfam family: Bacterial small subunit ribosomal RNA
Source: RNAcentral